Molecule: long non-coding RNA, 393 nt
Organism: Mytilus californianus (California mussel)
Lineage: Eukaryota; Metazoa; Mollusca; Bivalvia; Mytilida; Mytilidae
Exons: 3
Source: RefSeq, a predicted model, not a curated record
CAUUAGGUAAAAACAACGAAUGGACCCGUCGAUUUGUUUUUAAAUACUGGGAUGACGUAAGUGAGCAGGAGAUUACAUAUAGUCAUGAAGGAAAUCCUGUGAACUUCAAAGGCAAUACUGAUAGAAGUUCACUAAAGUACAAUAUAUUUUCUAACCCCAUCAUCACAAGAGAAUUUAAGAUAUACCCUACCGAUUGGAACAACUGGCCAGCUUUGCGAGUAGACAUCCUUGGCCAACCUCUGUCGUCAUAUAACUAUAGUCAGUCGGUAGUGAAAUGCUAUUUUGUGACGGACGAAAUUAGAAGCAAUACCAGCUCACCAUCUGCCUCUAGCUUAGAUGAAUGUAAAACAUCAUGCCUGCAGUCUGGUUAUCCAUUAUGCAGUUUUUACAUAG